This 253-nucleotide ribosomal RNA is filed under the name uncultured bacterium. RNAcentral's name for it is "partial 16S ribosomal RNA". It matches the Rfam family "Bacterial small subunit ribosomal RNA", at positions 524 to 776 of the family's 1533-position model. The record is from RNAcentral.
UACGGAGGGUGCAAGCGUUAUCCGGAUUUACUGGGUUUAAAGGGUGCGUAGGCGGGCCUUUAAGUCAGUGGUGAAAUCUCCCCGCUCAGCGGGGAAACUGCCAUUGAUACUAUUGGUCUUGAAUUUAGUUGAGGUGGGCGGAAUGUGUCGUGUAGCGGUGAAAUGCUUAGAUAUGACACAGAACACCGAUUGCGAAGGCAGCUCGCUAAACUAAUAUUGACGCUGAGGCACGAAAGCGUGGGGAUCAAACAGG